ACAGUGCGGGUGUGGCCCCAAUGCAAUGGGUCCCCCAGCGGCCCAGAGACAAGGUGGGCGGUGCGUCGCAGAACCGGAAAGGAGCUACAGGCUGACCCCGGCUUUCUGUGUGGCUGGAGGGGGAGGCGGCCCCCUAGUGGCAAAGGUCCGCACAGGGCCGAAGUUCAACGAGUCCCAGAGACUAAAGGUGACCUUCCUGCCCUGGGUUCUGAUGCCGCCUCCCACGACCGGGGGCCGUGCCGGCUGGAGGUGCCCCAAGAUCUCCUGGAGCAGGAUCGCUUCCUCACUGUGGCCCCUCUGCAAACUUCAUGCUCCUUACCUGCACUGACGCGAGAGCAACAGAGGAGUCAAUUGCCCCCAGCUCCUGAUAGCAAGUAAUAUUGAUUAGCCGGCUCCUGCAAAGGGCGAUGUGUUACCUGCAGUCAACAGCGGUUUGGAAACGAGGGGUCCCCCUUCUGACGGAUAAUCAGAAAGUCACAAGUAGCCUAACACUACGUCGAAAUGCCCACGUUGCUCCCUCACUUCAUCUCCUCACACAGGCAUUUUAUCAUCUCACAUCGUUACAAGAAAGGUCUACACCAUCCAAUAUGGCAGCCACGACUCGUGUGUGCUAGUCCCAGUUGAGCAAGUAUAACGAGCACAUCGGCUUCUGAAGACUUAAUACAAAAAAAAGGACAUGCAGUAUCUCAAUAGUAUUUUAUGUUGAUUACGUCUUGAAAUAGUACUGUUUUGGAUAGAUUUGAUUAAAUAAAGCAUACUGUUAAUUAACUUCACCUCUUUUUCCUUUUAAAGACCUGGUAACUAGAAAGUCAUAAUACGUAGCUUGGAUGAUAUUUCGAUUUGACGGUGCUGCUCAGGAUGACACAAUCAGGGAGGAAUGGGGAGGUCUGGCUUUUUCUCUCUUCAUCUGGAUCAACAGGUGUAGGAUGGCCCUACUCAGGGUUGAACAAAACACAUCUAGGCCCCUGCUUUUGGGGGCCGCUCCCUCCCUCCCAGUCUGUGCAAGAGGUGAAUGCCAUUCUCCACAUUUGUUGCGUCUGUCUGGCUCUUGCUAAGCUUUGGAGGAGAAGCAGACGAGCGCAGGGUGAGACGGGGCGUAUCAGAGGUAGGGCCAAGUGAUGGGUCAGAUGUGGGAGAAUGGCAGGCUUUGGUUAGACUGGAGUGUGGAUUCCAUUUUAGCCACUAGUUAGCUGUGCAGCCCUUGGUCUUUCUUAGCCCUGGUUUCCUCCUGAGCAGGAGAGAAUAAGAGAGUUCCCCAGGGGAUUCCUUGCCGCCUAGGGCUGUGGUAGGACAAACAGGACAGAGCGCAGAAUGCACCCACCUGGGCUGCCAGGGGUGGUCAUUUUGCUGUUGCGACUACCGACUACCACCCUCCCGCCUCGGGCCCUGGUCUCUCCCUCCCUCCCCUUCCCUGCUCCCCAGU
Acinonyx jubatus (cheetah) is the source of this 1423-nucleotide long non-coding RNA. RefSeq lists it as uncharacterized. The record is from RefSeq and is a predicted model, not a curated record. NCBI's taxonomy places the organism in Eukaryota, Metazoa, Chordata, Mammalia, Carnivora, Felidae. The transcript has 4 exons.